CCCGUGCAUAUAUGAUGAUUAAUAUGUUGGUAGGGACAUCUGAAUUAAAAUGUAGAAUGCCAACCCUCUCUGACUGCACGGG
Molecule: small nucleolar RNA, 82 nt
Organism: Eleginops maclovinus (Patagonian blennie)
Lineage: Eukaryota; Metazoa; Chordata; Actinopteri; Perciformes; Eleginopidae
Product: small nucleolar RNA SNORD74
Exons: 1
Source: RefSeq, a predicted model, not a curated record